Long non-coding RNA from Neogale vison (American mink), 716 nucleotides. RefSeq lists it as uncharacterized. The transcript is spliced from 3 exons. NCBI's taxonomy places the organism in Eukaryota, Metazoa, Chordata, Mammalia, Carnivora, Mustelidae. The record is from RefSeq and is a predicted model, not a curated record.
GGGGAGGUAGAAAGGCGCUCUUGGCUCCGAUAUUGGUCAGCAGGACUCUGACGUCCAGGUGCCUGUGGACGUCGGCGCCAGCGUAGAGGUUUCGCGAGCGCCGCCGCGGAGGCUCACCUGGAUGCGACCCGGAAAUACUAGUUCAGCAGCUCCGUGUCCGAGCUACGGAACGGCAAAAAGGCCAAAGUGUCUGCUCUGUUCGGGAUCUCGCGAGACUUUAGAUGGGAGUCACAGGGUGGCACUGAAGUCAGGACUCGGAGUCCCCGCAGCCCUCCUGGCGCCCUCCCAGUCUGAGGAUCCUCCUGUGGAAGAACCACUCUGUCCGAGUCCCCAUUUCACAGCUGGGGAAAUUGAAACCCUGUGUUCCAGGAACAUUAUAAGGAAGGUCUUGUGGCUCCGGAGCUCUCCACACCACCCAGAACCAGUUUGAGAGAGAGAGGAGGAGAGCUCUGCCUGGCAGCUCAGUAGGGUUGCCAGAGGAUGGAGAAAAGGGGAGGAGCGAGGAAGACCUAGUGCAAAGGGUUUACUGUGAGGCUAAUGGGGCCCGAAAGGUUGGAACUGGUAGCCUCCAUGGGGGGAGGGAGCUAGGAUGCCAUCAGGAGAUAUUUCAGAUAAAGUGUCCAUAAAGAUCUCAAAAGGGAGGGAAACCAAUUUCCAAGAUUCCAGUAAUGUGCUAUGGUUUAUUUUCCCAAACUAAACAAUGCUUGUUUUCAUAA